CAAGAGAUGGAGAGCUAAAAAAUCCGAGAACACAAAUGACUACAAAUGUACUGUUUUAUUCAUUUUCUGAGUGAUUUUUCAGUUUUCUCUUGAUUCUUGGAAAUACUCUAGAGUAGUUUGAGGCUGAAAUAUUCCAACUAAUUAGACAGAAAUAUAAGUUUUACUAUUUUAGUGGAUCCUUAGAGAUUCUGAUUUUCUUUCAAAUUUUCAGAAAUAGUUGUGACACACAUGUGUAUCAAAUGGUUUGAAAUUAGUUUAUAAUAUCAUUUUAAAGCCUGUCGGGCUGUUAGUUUGGUUCGAGCUUGAUAAGUUGAAUGGCUAUUUGUCAUCCUGGCUUCAAAGCCGUGUUUUUGGUUGUUUGAAUGCUGAUUUGUGCUCCUGAAUCUGCUGCUACUGCUCUGCUCUACUGACUCUUAACCUUUCCCUUUUUUUCUUUCCCAGGUACAUACUUCGAACCCCAAUGUGUAAUCAAGUUUGAAGAUGGAACGAAGUUAUUUUUGCAUUGCGACACUAGUUUUUUUUACAAUUGAUUCUAUCCUCAUGCCUGUUUGCUUAGACUACUAAUGUGAUGACUCCUUUCUUAAAAUAGUUAAGGAUCCACUUGUAAAUAAUCAUGGACCCUAAACUUUGACUUGGCUCCAUUUCGUGUUUUGGUUUGUUAUUAGUAGUAUAGAUGUCAAUUCUGAAGUCCAUGUGGGCUGAUUGUAGAAAAAAUAUAUGGAAUCCUUGAGUUUCUUUAUCAUGUAUAAUUGGACAUUUAGAAGUUGGUUUGGUAACCGUUGCUUGAAAUAAUUUGUAUGUUAGCUAUCAAUUCACCCUUUCCCUGAUCCCCUCAAGUGUUGAAUGUCCAAGUGUACUAAAUAGUCAUAUAGUCAUUAGCUUUGGUAGUAUAGCUUAGUUUGAUAUCCAUUUAGUUGAAGUUGUAUUUGAGUCGAGAAUUAUCUAGUUCUAUCACUGAUCCAGUGUGUGUGAAUUCGAUACUUCUUUAAUAGUUUGGACGAGCUGUAAUAAUUUAGUUUCAAUUGUUCAUGAAGCAUGGAAUUCAUUUAGAGUUUGAGUUUAAAGUAGCACUGAUUCCUUUCUAGUAUGACAAGGAUUGUAAGCAUGUUUAAUUUUAAUAUAAUUU
Molecule: long non-coding RNA, 1126 nt
Filed under: Nicotiana benthamiana
Lineage: Eukaryota; Viridiplantae; Streptophyta; Magnoliopsida; Solanales; Solanaceae
Description: long non-coding RNA (NBEN_LNC032232)
Source: RNAcentral